This 468-nucleotide ribosomal RNA is filed under the name uncultured bacterium. RNAcentral describes it as "partial 16S ribosomal RNA". It matches the Rfam family "Bacterial small subunit ribosomal RNA", at positions 28 to 507 of the family's 1533-position model. The record is from RNAcentral.
GACGAACGCUGGCGGCGUGCUUAACACAUGCAAGUCGAACGGAAAGGCCCUGCUUUUGUGGGGUGCUCGAGUGGCGAACGGGUGAGUAACACGUGAGUAACCUGCCCUUGACUUUGGGAUAACUUCAGGAAACUGGGGCUAAUACCGGAUAGGAGCUCCUGCUGCAUGGUGGGGGUUGGACAGUUUCGGCGGUUGGGGAUGGACUCGCGGCUUAUCAGCUUGUUGGUGGGGUAGUGGCUUACCAAGGCUUUGACGGGUAGCCGGCCUGAGAGGGUGACCGGCCACAUUGGGACUGAGAUACGGCCCAGACUCCUACGGGAGGCAGCAGGGGGGAAUAUUGCACAAUGGGCGGAAGCCUGAUGCAGCAACGCCGCGUGCGGGAUGACGGCCUUCGGGUUGUAAACCGCUUUCGCCUGUGACGAAGCGUGAGUGACGGUAAUGGGUAAAGAAGCACCGGCUAACUACGUG